Long non-coding RNA from Hippocampus comes (tiger tail seahorse), 435 nucleotides. RefSeq lists it as uncharacterized. The record is from RefSeq and is a predicted model, not a curated record. The transcript has 2 exons. NCBI's taxonomy places the organism in Eukaryota, Metazoa, Chordata, Actinopteri, Syngnathiformes, Syngnathidae.
GAAACCGACCACCAACCAUUGGUUACCAUCCACAACAAGCCCUUUCACACGAUCCCAGCACGAUUGCAAAGAAUGAUGCUCAGACUACAGAAGUUCAACCGAACACUCGUCUACAAGAAAGGUAAACAUUUCUACAUUGCGGACACACUCUCCCACCCCAAGGCUGAACACUCCCCCAUUAAAAGAGGAGCAGCGCGAUUCUGAAGUCAUGACGCUUCAACUCAUUUCACCCAAACGUCUACAAGAGCUGGCAGGACACACAAAGACCCAGUUCUUCAGACACUGACGCGCUCCAUCCAACAAGGUUGGCCCACACGGCUCUUCUACAGGAAGUGUACUUACAGGAACUACACAAAGGCCAUCCAGGCAUGGAGUCUGUGAAAAGAAGGGCAAGAGACACUGUUUUCUGGUUCACAAGCAACUCUGACAUCAAGG